GCCGGAGUGGCGGAAUGGCAGACGCGGCGGAUUCAAAAUCCGCUUCUGGAGACAGAGUGGGGGUUCGACUCCCCCCUCCGGCA
Molecule: transfer RNA, 83 nt
Filed under: Phycisphaeraceae bacterium
Lineage: Bacteria; Pseudomonadati; Planctomycetota; Phycisphaerae; Phycisphaerales; Phycisphaeraceae
Description: tRNA-Leu
Rfam family: tRNA
About the family: Transfer RNA (tRNA) molecules are approximately 80 nucleotides in length.
Source: RNAcentral